This 425-nucleotide ribosomal RNA is filed under the name uncultured bacterium. RNAcentral's name for it is "bacterial SSU rRNA". It matches the Rfam family "Bacterial small subunit ribosomal RNA", at positions 356 to 773 of the family's 1533-position model. The record is from RNAcentral.
GGGGAAUUUUGGACAAUGGGGGCAACCCUGAUCCAGCCAUUCCGCGUGAGUGAAGAAGGCCUUCGGGUUGUAAAGCUCUUUUGUCCGGAGCGAAACGGGCGGCCCUAAUACGGUCGUCUACUGACGGUACCGGAAGAAUAAGCACCGGCUAACUACGUGCCAGCAGCCGCGGUAAUACGUAGGGUGCGAGCGUUAAUCGGAAUUACUGGGCGUAAAGCGUGCGCAGGCGGUUUUGUAAGCCAGAUGUGAAAUCCCCGGGCUCAACCUGGGAAUGGCAUUUGGGACUGCAAGGCUGGAGUGUGGCAGAGGGGACUAGAAUUCCUGGUGUAGCAGUGAAAUGCGUAGAUAUCAGGAGGAAUACCGAUGGCGAAGGCAGGUCCCUGGGUUAACACUGACGCUCAUGCACGAAAGCGUGGGGAGCAAAC